RNAcentral lists this long non-coding RNA (266 nucleotides) under Prunus persica (peach). RNAcentral's name for it is "long non-coding RNA (PPER_LNC003613)". Lineage: Eukaryota; Viridiplantae; Streptophyta; Magnoliopsida; Rosales; Rosaceae. The record is from RNAcentral.
AAAAUUCUUGAGAAUAAAAGGACUGAUUAAUAUCAUGUAUCGACUAAUUCCCUCUCCCAAGGGUCAAGGAAUUUUUUUUUUACAACGCACACACAUCCGUCGACUAAUUACAGGGAAUGUCUACUGUUUAAUUUGCCCAUGUGAAUUCAAUCCUAAUCACAUGAUUAAAAAACAUAACAAAGGAGAGCAUUACGGCUUUCUCAUCUCCCAUCGAAUCAAUGAUUUUUUUUAUUUUUUUAUUUUUACAGAGUUUAUAUCUAACCUUU